Molecule: ribosomal RNA, 494 nt
Filed under: uncultured bacterium
Lineage: Bacteria
Description: partial 16S ribosomal RNA
Rfam family: Bacterial small subunit ribosomal RNA
Source: RNAcentral
GACGAACGCUGGCGGCGUGCUUAACACAUGCAAGUCGAACGGAAAGGCCUGCUUUCCCUUGUGGUUUGCGGGUACUCGAGUGGCGAACGGGUGAGUAACACGUGAGUGAUCUGCCCCCAACUUGGGUAUAAGCCUGGGAAACUGGGUCUAAUUCCCGAUAGGACUGCAGGGUGGUGCCUGUGGUGGAAAACGAUUUUCUAGUGGUUGGGGAUGAGCUCGCGGCCUAUCAGCUUGUUGGUGGGGUAAUGGCCUACCAAGGCGGCGACGGGUAGCCGGCCUGAGAGGGUGGACGGCCACAGUGGGACUGGGAUACGGCCCAGACUCCUACGGGAGGCAGCAGUGGGGAAUAUUGCACAAUGGGCGGAAGCCUGAUGCAGCGACGCCGCGUGGGGGAUGACGGCCUUCGGGUGGUAAACUCCUUUCGACCGCGAGGAAGCCACCUGGUUGGAAGGGUGGUGACGGUAGUGGUAGAAGAAGCACCGGCUAACUACGUG